AAGGGGCGUGUCCUCACCCGGUAGGAGGGAUUAAUUAGGAAAAGAGGCGUGGUUAAUUAAGGAAAGGGGCGUGUCCUCACCCGGUGGAAGGGAUUAAUUAGGAAAAGAGGCGUGGUUAAUUGGUUAAUUAAGGAAAGGGGCGUGUCCUCACCCGGUGGGAGGGAUUAAUUAGGAAAAGAGGCGUGGUUAAUUGGUUCAUUAAGGAAAGGGGCGUGUCCUCACCCGGUGGGAGGGGUUAAUUAGCAAAUGAGGCGUGGUUAAUUAAGGAAAGGGGCGUGUCCUCACCCGGUGGGCGGGGCCGGCGAAGGCGGGGCGGAGUCGGAAGAGCUGGAGCUGGAGUCGGAGUCGGAGUCGGACGAGGAGGAGGAGGAGGACGAGGAGGAAGAGGAGGAGGAGGACGACGACGAGGAGCUGCCCUUGGGGCCGGCGGCCGGCGGAGCACUGGGAGCACUGGGAGCACUGGGAGCACUGGGAGCCGCUGGUGUGCCGGUACUGGGAGCACUGGGAGCACUGGGAGAUGCAGCCACGGUGGUACUGGUGAUACUGGGAGCACUGGGAAUGCUCUGAGGUGCCGCACUGGUGGUACUGGGAGCACUGGGUGCCAUCAGUGUGCCCAUACUGGUGGUACUGGGAGCACUGGGAGCACUGGGAGCACUGGGAGCCGCUGCCACGGUGAUACUGGGAGCACUGGGAGCCGCUGCCAUGAUGGUACUGGGAGCACUGGGAGCACUGGGAGCCGCAGCACUGGUGCCACUGGUCAAACUGGGAGCACUGGGAGCCGCUGCCACGGUGAUACUGGGAGCACUGGGAGCCGCUGCCGUGAUGGUACUGGGAGCACUGGGAGCCGCAGCACGGGUGCCACUGGUCAAACUGGGAGCAGCGCUGCUCAUACUGGGAGCACUGGUCAAACUGGUGGCGCUGAGAACGGCAGCACUGGCGGCACUGGGAGCCGUGGAACCGGUCGUACUGGUGACACUGGUUAAACUGGGAGCCGUGGAACUGGUCGUACUGGUGACACUGGUUAAACUGGGAGCCGUGGAACUGGUCAAACUGGUGAUACUGGUUAAACUGGGAGCCGUGGAACUGGUCAAACUGGUGAUACUGGGAGCCACAGCACUGCUCAAACUGGUUGUACUGGGAACCGCAGCACCGGUCAAACUGGUUGAACUGGGAGCCGCAGCACCGGUCAAACUGGUUGAACUGGGAGCCGCAGCACUGGUCAAACUGGUUGAACUGGGAGCCGCAGCACUGGUCAGACUGGUUGAACUGGGAGCCGCCGCACUGGUCACACUGGUGACACUGGGAGCCGCAGCACUGGUCAAACUGGUUGUACUGGUGACACUGGGAGCUGUAGCAGUGGUUGAACUGGUCAAACUGGGAGCCGCAGCACUGCUCAAACUGGUUGUACUGGGAACUGUAGCACCGGUCAAACUGGUCGUACUGGUCAAACUGGUAGCCACGGCACCGGUCAAACUGGUCGAACUGGGAGUCGCAGCACUGGUCAAGCUGGUUGAACUGGUGACACUGGGAGCCGCCGCACCGGUCAAACUGGUCAAACUGGGAGCUGCCACACUGGUGAAACUGGUGACACUGGUGACACUGGGAGCCGCCGCACUGGUCAAACUGGUUGUACUGGUCAAACUGGGAGCCGCUGCACUGGUCAAACUGGGAGCCGCCGCACCGGUCAAACUGGUCACACUGGUCGCACUGGUGACACUGGGAGCCGCAGCACUGGUCAAACUGGGAGCCACAGCACUGGUCAAACUGGUCGAACUGGUGACACUGGGAGCUGCAGCACUGGUCAAACUGGGAGCCGCCGCACUGGUCAAACUGGUCACACUGGUCGCACUGGUGACACCCGGACUGGUCCCGCCGGUGGCUUUAGGGACAAUCCCAGCACCGACCCUCCCCGGACUGGUCGUACUGGUCAAACUGGGAGCGCUGGGAGCCGCGCCGGCGGCGGCUCUGGUGACGAUGACGCCGCCGCCCAAACUGGGAGCGCCGGUGGCCUUACUGGUGGCACUGGUCAUACUGGUGAUGCCGGUCGUGCUGGUUAUACUGGUGAUACUGGUGAUGCCGGUCAUGCUGGUCAUACUGGUGAUACUGGUGAUGCCGGUGGCUCCGGCGGCCCUGGCCAUGGCCGUGGCCUUGGCGUUGGCGUCGGCGCUGGCGCGCAGGAUGGCGGC
Long non-coding RNA from Lonchura striata (white-rumped munia), 2186 nucleotides. The record is from Ensembl. NCBI's taxonomy places the organism in Eukaryota, Metazoa, Chordata, Aves, Passeriformes, Estrildidae.